This 291-nucleotide ribosomal RNA is filed under the name uncultured bacterium. Its description in RNAcentral is "partial 16S ribosomal RNA". It matches the Rfam family "Bacterial small subunit ribosomal RNA", at positions 773 to 1060 of the family's 1533-position model. The record is from RNAcentral.
GUGGAUUAGAUACCCGAGUAGUCCACACUGUAAACGAUGAUUGCUAGGUGUGGGGGGUCUGACCCCCUCCGUGCCGGAGUUAACGCAAUAAGCAAUCCACCUGGGGAGUACGGCCGCAAGGUUGAAACUCAAAGGAAUUGACGGGGGCCCGCACAAGCAGUGGAUUAUGUGGUUUAAUUCGAAGCAACGCGAAGAACCUUACCAGGUCUUGACAUCCGACUAACGAGAUAGAGAUAUGUCAGGUGCCCUUCGGGGAAAGUCGAGACAGGUGGUGCACGGCCGUCGCCAGCU